CUGGGCAGCACCCCUGGGCUUGCCUCCGCUCCACUCAGCGCUGGACAGUUNUCUGAAGCUUUAGCAANCCCAGCCAGAGUCCAUGCUCCUUUGAACACAGGUCCAAGAGCCCAGGGUCUGCGAAGCCCAGGUCAAGAAGCUCGGUGAGAGGUCUGAGAGGCAACAGGCGGGACCCACGGACACCAGCAUGAAUGUCCCGUUCCUCUCACUCUGUCUGGCGCUGGGAUCCCGUAAACCUACAGCACAUCCCACUGCAAAUGUCUUGCAAGGCUGAUGGGGAAUCAGAGAGAACGACCUGCUGGCCCAGCUCAGCGGUGUCGGGUGCUCUCCUGGGUGCCAGUUCCCAGAUGCCCGGGUGUAGUCUGCAGAACCAGCUCCGUGUUAUGCUUGAGAGUGACUGGAUUUACCAAGGACACUGCUGCACAGUGGCAGGACAGCCCUGAGACCUGCGCCGCCUCCCGUCUCCAAACUAUUUUAAGCUGAUCUUCUGGCUUUGCCUCCUGUGUGUGUGUGAUGGGGCUGUUUCCUCGGUGGGUUCUCAGAGCCUCUCCUCGAUCUUUGGGUUCUCAGAGACACCAACUCCUG
Molecule: long non-coding RNA, 585 nt
Filed under: Homo sapiens (human)
Lineage: Eukaryota; Metazoa; Chordata; Mammalia; Primates; Hominidae
Description: HSALNT0246638
Source: RNAcentral